Long non-coding RNA from Lycium ferocissimum, 440 nucleotides. RefSeq lists it as uncharacterized. The transcript is spliced from 3 exons. The record is from RefSeq and is a predicted model, not a curated record. NCBI's taxonomy places the organism in Eukaryota, Viridiplantae, Streptophyta, Magnoliopsida, Solanales, Solanaceae.
AAACACUCUCUAAUAUUCAUCUAUCCUCUCCAAGCUUUUCUUUAUCAUCCAAGUAAGAUCCGAACCCCGAAAACCCGAGCUAGUGAAAGGGAAGUUGCUCCUAGGGUUUCUAUUUGAAGUGGUUGAGUUUAGGAGUUGGAUUUGAAGUUUGGUUCUUGGAAUUCCAGCCCCUUUAAGUGUUGCAAGCUUGGGAAGUACGCAUCGGACUUUAGGUAGACUCUAAGGUACCGAUAGACAGGGAGAUGAUCCGGCUCAGUGGGACUUCCCCUCAGCCAUAGUUGGUGCGCUCCACUUGAUCCGGAGUUGCGAUUCAUUUUGGUAUGCUGUUUUGAGAUGUAUAUACAUGUAUAUGGGUAUGGGGGGGCCUUGUCCCGUCCUUUCUAUAGUUUUCUGUUCCAUUAGAGGUCUGUAGACAGUGGUAUGUAGUUGGUACAUGAUGU